AUGGAUUCGGGAUUAAAUUGUCCUUUGUGUGCAAGCAACAGCAGAGAGACCAGAGAGCACCUUUUCUUCAACUGUGCAUUUGCUCGCCGCUCCUGGAGGCAGGUUGGCAUAAAUUGGACCCAAAAUCAUGAUGUGGCUGCCAUGUUCCGCUCGGCUAAACAAUCUUUUACUGGCCCUUGUUUCUUUGAGGUGGCAACUUGUGUUCUGUGGAAUGUGCGGAAACAACGCAACGCUUAUAUAUUUCAGCAUCAGACCCCUUCUUUGGCUACUUGGCGUGUGCUGUUUAAGAGAGAUAUCGGUCUCAUUGGUCAUAGGGUUAAGCCCCAUCUUCAAGCUCUCUGCUUUCUGCUUGGUUGA
This 357-nucleotide ribosomal RNA is filed under the name Triticum aestivum (bread wheat). Its description in RNAcentral is "partial small subunit ribosomal RNA". Lineage: Eukaryota; Viridiplantae; Streptophyta; Magnoliopsida; Poales; Poaceae. The record is from RNAcentral.